This is a long non-coding RNA of Xenopus laevis (African clawed frog), 1149 nucleotides long. RefSeq lists it as uncharacterized. The transcript has 2 exons. NCBI's taxonomy places the organism in Eukaryota, Metazoa, Chordata, Amphibia, Anura, Pipidae. The record is from RefSeq and is a predicted model, not a curated record.
UGUGUCUGCUGAUGGGAGCGCUCCUAUCUCUUAGAUACACCACUGACUGAGUCUGUACCGGGGGUUGGGGGAGUCAGGCCUUCCCUAAUUAAAGCCAAUGAUUGACCUUGUUGCAGGAGGGAGAUGGGACAGUUAUUACUGUGCACUGAGGUCAACACUGUAACACAGUUUGGGGAUAAACUCCGCAGCUCUGAUAGUUACAAUGCCCGCUGAAGGAAACAAAGGCAGGGUUAUAUUUAGCAGCAGAUAACCUGCAUGAACCUUGCCUUUUUAAGGGGAUCAUUUUUAGUACAGUGAAGCGUAGUGGGGACUGUAACCCAGUUCAGAGGCACUUUAACUCCUUAGUAGCCUGUGGCCUCUGUAUGUAGCUGCUUAAUAUCAUUACUUGCUCUAUGGGAAUUUUUUUUAUCACUGCUUGGGUUUAUUUUUUCUGCUUUGACUGAUGGUUCUUUUUUUCCUUCUCGUUUCUUGUCUUUGUUUUGUCUUACAGUAAACUUAAUAGAGAGGGUGCGUGUAGAGGAAAGCGUGCAGAUGUUACAACAAAAUACAACUCUGAAUUUGACACAUUUAUAUUUAAAGAAAUGCACACAGGACGCAGAAAUUAGCAACUGAUAUGGCAUUGGACACAUCUCCAGCAGCUGCAGAUUUUAUUCGCCGACCCCCCAACUUUCCACAUACACCAUUUGUUUUUGUGUGCUGGCAGGACUGCAAACGUCAACAUGUUCCUUGAUUCAAGUAGUGACAUCAGUUUGAUUGGGCUGCCGGAUUGUCUGCAGUAUGAAAGAGGAGUCAGUGGGCUUAGCUAGAAGAUUUACUGAUCGGCCUCGGAGCAUUGAUGGAGUAAAGUGCAACUGGAAUCAUGUGAGAGGGCAUCGCCUUCAUCUCAAGCAGCACAUAUUGAUUAUUCAGGCAGAACCACAGAAAUCCACGCUAUUUGACGCGCGUGAAUAACAAUAGCCUGCUUCAAAAUACAAUUCUUGGUUUUAAAAGGCCCCAGCUCACCCUGGGGUAAAACAAAAAAAUAUUUGACAUUUUACUUUCGAUGGACAAAUAAUAAUCAUUUUCCUUUUUAUAUUUGAGGUCACCUAUUAAUCAACAAUUCUUCCAUUAUAUAAUAUUUUUUCGCUGCAACAGGAAUAAACUGAACCU